GCUUGUCUCAAAGAUUAAGCCAUGCAUGUCUACGAACAGCGAUACUCUCACAAAUCUGCGAACGGCUCCGUAUAUCUGUUGUCACCCGCCAUCAUCCGUCCGGGAGAUGCAAAUACCUCCCGGCAACGGAUAACCACGGUAAUUCUGUGGCUAAUACGUGUGUGAAUAGGGGCUGGGGCGUAAGCUCCGGUCCUUGGGCUUGCCACUGUCAACUGCGCCGGGUAAAACCGUCGUGCGUGAUUGCAGGCAAGUUCCCCUACCGGCCAAUUACAUGGCCGGAGUGUAUGACGGGCUUCAGACCUAUCAACUUGUCGGCCGGGGAUAGCCCGGCCGUGGUGACGACGGGUACAGAGGAUCAGGGUUCGAUCCUGGAGAGGUAGCCUGAGAGAUCGCUACUACUUCUAAGGAAGGCAGCAGG
Molecule: ribosomal RNA, 418 nt
Filed under: uncultured fungus
Lineage: Eukaryota; Fungi
Description: partial small subunit ribosomal RNA
Rfam family: Eukaryotic small subunit ribosomal RNA
Source: RNAcentral